GAUGAACGCUGGCGGCGUGCUUAACACAUGCAAGUCGAACGAAGCACUUAAGAUUGAUUCUUCGGAUGACGUCUUUUGUGACUUAGUGGCGGACGGGUGAGUAACGCGUGGGUAACCUGCCUCACACAGGGGGAUAACAGUUAGAAAUGACUGCUAAUACCGCAUAACCCGAUAGGAUCGCAUGAUCCAGACGGAAAAGAUUUAUCGGUGUGAGAUGGACCCGCGUCUGAUUAGCUAGUUGGUGAGGUAACGGCCCACCAAGGCGACGAUCAGUAGCCGGACUGAGAGGGUGAACGGCAACAUUGGGACUGAGACACGGCCCAAACUCCUACGGGAGGCAGCAGUGGGGAAUAUUGCACAAUGGGGGAAACCCUGAUGCAGCGACGCCGCGUGAGUGAAGAAGUAUUUCGGUAUGUAAAGCUCUAUCAGCAGGGAAGAAAAUGACGGUACCUGACUAAGAAGCCCCGGCUAACUACGUG
Molecule: ribosomal RNA, 479 nt
Filed under: uncultured bacterium
Lineage: Bacteria
Description: partial 16S ribosomal RNA
Rfam family: Bacterial small subunit ribosomal RNA
Source: RNAcentral